GUUCCAGGCCCUGAUUUCCUGACCCUGGGGGACGACAACAUCCAUAGCCUGAACUUUGAGUCUGAGCCGAACCGGGACCUCCCUGACUAUGGGCCCGGGGACCUGCACACAGCCUACCAGCCAUCCCCGUCAUUCAGCACCUCUGAUGCCUUCUCAGCACUUUGUGCUCCCUGAGCCUCAAGGCCUCGAGCUGGCGGGGCGGGGACCACGUCGCUCUGCAGCCCCUGCGCUCCGAGGGUGAACCCCCCCAUGCCCCACUGUAGCAUCUUUGCCCCCAUGCACUGCCCAACGGCAACAGCAGCCUGUCCUAUGAUAGCGUGCUCAACCCUGACCCACCUGGUGGCCAUGCCUGCCCCGCCCAUCCAGCAGUUGGCGUGGCCAGAUACCACUGACCCUACCUGCACCCUAGGGCAACGGGUGGCCCACCACGGCCCCUGCCCCGCAGCUUCAGCCCCAUGCUGGGCCGCCGGCCCCCAGAGCCCUCACCUGUGUACUACAACAACCUGUCCAGGGCCAUCAUGGCAUCCAUCCAGGAGCACAAGGACAGGGAGGAGCAUGAGUGCCUGCUGCGCUCCCAGGCCAACUCACUCUUUGGCGACUUGGGCAUCUAUGAUGCGCCCAGCUUCUAUACCCUGCAGCAGGCCAGUGUGCCGUGCCAGGGCCCCCGAGGUUCCACACUGCGUUACGGCUCCAGAGAGGACCCUGUGGCUGGGCCUGGCUUCGGCGGUGCCCGCAACCCUGCCCUGCAGACAUCACUGUCCUUGCUGUCCAGCUCCGUGAGCCGUGCACCUCGGAUGUCGUCCUCCCUGCAGGCUGAUAAGGCCAGCAGCCAUGCCCUGGGGCCCUGGUUCAUCAGUGACUCACACAGGUCAGUCACACUCCAGGGCCUGCCCUCCCUGACAGGCACUCCUGACUCACCGUCCUACGCAGGCCCCAAAGCUGUCGCCUUCAUCCACACGGACCUCCCAGAGCCACCGCCCUCGCUGGCCGUGCAGAGGUGAACCCUCCGAGCCCAGAGGGCAGGGACUGCCCUGGGCCCCCACGACAUGGUUACACCAGUCCACGUCCGUGUCGUCGAUGUCCUGCUGCCUCCUCCGUCCUCUGUCCCGAUGCGUUCCUGUGUUCACCGUGUGCAUGCGUGUAUGUGCGUGUUUUGAUGCAGGGACCACCCUCAGGUGAAGACUCCCCCAGGUAAGCUUAAUGGGCAGUCCCCGGGCCUGGCCCGGCUGGGACCUACCACCGGCCCCCCAGGGCCCUCUGCCAGCCCUACACAGCACACGCGGAUUAAGAAGGUGUCCGGCGUGGGUGGGACCACGUACAAGAUCUCGGUGUGAGGACUGACCACCACCCAUCUGCUGUGGUGCCACGGGGACCAGGACCCCACAGUGCAUCCCCCUCCCCACCAUCUUCUCUGCCCCAGGAACACGAGGCCACCCUAGCCUGAUAUGGACCCAUCAGCGGGAGAGAGUGCCACGCCUCCACACCUUGCCCCAGGCGCCCUGCCUGCCCAUCCACUCAUCUGGCCAUGGGGAAGUUGGCUCACUGGGACAAGGGCCGCUGGGCUGGUCUGUGUCUGGGCCUGUCCCAUGGCUAGGGCAGUGAAGGGGGCCUAGUCAGCCUCUUUGGGGCACCCUCUCUCAGCCAGGCUUGGCCCACUCCCAUCACCCAUGCACCCCAGAUCAUCGCCAGGCCAGCCCCCAACGGUCCCUUUACGGCCGGGUCCCAGGGAUGGACAGAGGCAUCCAGGGCCUCCGCCGUCCUUCCGACACAGCCUGUGGGCUCCCGGACCGAGUGUCCCCCGCCAGGCUACUCCUAACUAACGCGUUGCCUUUCAUGGACCCCGCUGGGAGCUCGUAGCUUGGCAAGGCUUAUGUUUCUGCUCUGGCCUGUUCUGGGUGGUGGUGGAUAGGUGGACAGAUGGCCAGCCAUGUGUCAGUGUUCCAGCUGCCACUGUCCCUUUCAUCAAAGCCUCAACUUUUGCUUUCUGCUCUUGUGGGAAGUGACGGGGCAGACGGGAGCAGACACAGGGAUGAUGCUGCCACGGGGCCUGUGACACCCAGAGCCCCCUCCCCAGCCCUCAGGCCCUCCCUGCCAAACUGGAGAACCCUGCCCCAAGGCAUGCCACGUCCCCAACCCUGGCCUGGCUGUGGUGCUCACGCCAUGGGAAAGCACAAUGGGGAGGGGUCCGUGCUUCCUUUGGUGUCAGGGACCUGAGAAUAAGCACAACGACAGCAUCCACCUGCGUUGUGUCUGUUUUAUGUUUUUAUAUCUACAUCUAUAUAUCUAUAAUUUUAUUAAAAAAGAAAAGCUUAUUUUGAUUCUUUCCUUGGGCAAGACCAGGGCUGUUGCUGCAGGACCCCCAGAGUUAGGGGAGGGCAGAGGCCGGGCCCUGGAAGAGGGGGUGGCUGCUGUCUGGUGUGCAGGGGUAGGUGGGUUCCUCGGGGGCAUUUCUGUGGGCUUGGGCUGAGUCAGAGGCUUGGGAAGAGGGCGUGGCCGAUGGUCUAUGGCUGGGAAGUGUGAGGGUCUCUCGCCUUGUGUCUGCAUCAGUUCUGGCAGUGAUGGGGUGUUUGGGGGAAAGACUUAGGUCUGCCACUACCCACAGGGGAAUCCCAGGAACCCAAGAGCUUGGCGAAAUGAAGUGUGGGUGCAUAGGGGCCACCUGCUGGCUCAGGGCCAUGUGGGGGCUGCUGAACCUGCUGGAACUCUCCUGCCUGACAAACGCCAGGGGCAGGGCUGAGGGAGUGUGAGGGAUGCGCAGCUGUUCAGGGCUGAGACAGCCUGGGCUGGGGCUGUCCCAGUGCGGGAGGGGUGCGGGCUGUAGGGCCCCGAAGCUGGUGCUGUGCUGACCACCUUUCUGCUUCUCUCUCACGGACGCCGCGGCCCACAGGGAGCGGAUUGGCACCUGUACCCGUGGAUGGGGGCAACGUGACCAGCCUUGGGUGCCUCCUGGGCUGCACCUAUGCCACCUUGGCCGCCUGGAGGACCGCCCACCACUGCGGGCCCCCUGGAGCCCGACCACCUGGGGCACCCCCCAUGUGGGGCCAUGUGCCGCCUGCACUUGGCUACCUAGUCUUUUCCCCAGCCUCUCCGGGCCCUAGCAGGAUGACAAGUAGGCAGCUCUGGGGCCUGGGACAGCCCAGCUGGGGACCCAGGAGGUCAGACUGCCAUGGACCCUCGGGCAGGGCUGGAGGUGAGCUGGGCUUUCUUCUCCACCAGCCACAGCUUGACAGACUCCCAGCCUGCCAGGGCCCGAGACCCUGUGUCCACGUGACCUCAGUGAGUCCCCCACCUGCUGCAGGGGGUCCAGCACCCCACAGGGGGCAGCACCAGAGCUGUGGGGACCAGCACAAACUUUGCUGAGCCUCCCUGUCCAACCAAGCUCUUUAGACCAAGCCACUUCCUCCUCGGGGAGCCCAGGCCUCUGUGGGUUGGGCUGGGUGGGGGGUCUCAGGUUGCCCCCGAAGGUCUCUGCACUCCUGCCCUUCGCCUGACACAUGAACAGAUGCCUUAAUUUCCUGGAGCCGCCAGCGUGGUGAGCCACUGGCCCCUGCCUGCCACCAGGGUCCUGUGGUCAUGGCCAGCUCUGUCUGGGCCCCACUGGGGCUGCCUGCACCCAGAGACGAUGCUGCUGGGAGCUCAGAGGGCCCGAGGCCCAAGCCCUGUGUCCUCCAGCAGAGGUACGGCCUGUGGCAGGGUGGCACUCUGGCCAGCCCUUCUCCGGCACAGGGUCCCUGUCCCUGGUUUACCCUGGGCUGCUGCUCUAUUUCUCCCAUUUUGGGAUGAGAAAGCCACAAAACUCUCCUGCAUUGUUCUUAAGGGCACCCCUGCUAAUUAAUUCCCCAAAUAAAAUUUUUGGUGUUGAUCUCCACAACUCUGUCUACCAAUGUGGCGCCCUGGGUUGGGGAGGUGACAG
Molecule: long non-coding RNA, 3913 nt
Organism: Cercocebus atys (sooty mangabey)
Lineage: Eukaryota; Metazoa; Chordata; Mammalia; Primates; Cercopithecidae
Source: Ensembl